Syngnathus typhle (broad-nosed pipefish) is the source of this 212-nucleotide small nucleolar RNA. RefSeq annotates it as small nucleolar RNA U3. The record is from RefSeq and is a predicted model, not a curated record. The transcript has a single exon. NCBI's taxonomy places the organism in Eukaryota, Metazoa, Chordata, Actinopteri, Syngnathiformes, Syngnathidae.
AAUAGUUUACUUAGGAGCCCAUCUUGCUCCGUUUGUUUAACUUUCACAGGAUAAAGCAGUCAUGUCUUGAUGAACUACGAUGACGGGAAUUGAUGUUCCUUCCUGAGCGUGAAGCUGGCGUAGGAUAAUGAUUUAUCAUAUGUCCUUCACCUUUGAUGAACGUUCUUUACUUCCUUGUGGAGUAUUGAGGGAGGGAACAUGAUCAGAGUAGU